RNAcentral lists this long non-coding RNA (432 nucleotides) under Zostera marina. RNAcentral's name for it is "long non-coding RNA (ZMAR_LNC002997)". Lineage: Eukaryota; Viridiplantae; Streptophyta; Magnoliopsida; Alismatales; Zosteraceae. The record is from RNAcentral.
ACAGAAAUCUGCUACUUGAGCUAUCAUGGUUGGCUCUGGACAUAGGCAGUUGUCGAUGAGCUUUAUAAGAACUGAAGCUAUUCGAUUGAGAUCUUUGAGAUGGAUCUUGUCUGUUUCACUUGGAAUAUUGAAUCUGUUGGUGAGGCUCAACCACAGAUGUUGUGUUGUGCAAAUGAAUGGAAGGUCAUCAAGAUUUUUUGACAAGUGAAUGUAUGCACCAUCGCUUGGUAGAGGACUCCAUCCAGCAAGAAGUUCUUUGGAGAUACUCAUCUCGAUGUUGUUAACUCAAGAGGACAAAAGGGAAUGAUCAUUGUUCAAGGAAUAGAUCAUAUUUGCAUAGAAUUGACUUACCUUUCCAUCAAAGAUUUCUUUUUGCUUGAUGUUCUCCAUAUAUUCCACAAGUCCAUGGAAGCUAAGGAGUUCUUCCAACAC